GGGGGCGAAAGGUUUCGACGGGGGUGAGAGAAACCGGGGUAGCGUGUCGAGGUCUCCGGUUGGCCUCGUAAAAAAACCGGAAACAAUCAAGUGCCAACGAGCCUGCAUACGCACUGGCUGCCUAGAAAUAGGUAGUCGGCUCACCGGUGGCUACGGCCAUCGGCGUUCCCCCCGUUGUCGCCCGGGCUUCGGGAAGGAACGUCACUUACUGGGCUGGCCGUCUUCGCGGGCACCUUGCGGAACGGUAAGAUUUCAGGGUGCUGGCGUUGCUUCUGGCCUGCCUGUGGGCCUGGAGUGAGGCGAGACUUCAAACACAGAAUACACACGUAGAAACCCCGGUGGAUGCAUCUUCGGACCCGGGUUCGAUUCCCGGCGCCUCCACCA
RNAcentral lists this transfer-messenger RNA (384 nucleotides) under Nitrospirota bacterium. It matches the Rfam family "transfer-messenger RNA". From Rfam's summary of the family: Bacterial tmRNA, also known as 10Sa RNA or SsrA, is named for its dual tRNA and mRNA-like properties. Its role is to liberate the mRNA from a stalled ribosome. To accomplish this part of the tmRNA is used as a reading frame that ends in a translation stop signal. Lineage: Bacteria; Pseudomonadati; Nitrospirota. The record is from RNAcentral.